RNAcentral lists this ribosomal RNA (252 nucleotides) under uncultured bacterium. Its description in RNAcentral is "partial 16S ribosomal RNA". It matches the Rfam family "Bacterial small subunit ribosomal RNA", at positions 524 to 776 of the family's 1533-position model. The record is from RNAcentral.
UACGUAGGAUGCGAGCGUUAUCCGGAUUUAUUGGGUUUAAAGGGUGCGUAGGCGGAUUUUUAAGUCAGCGGUAAAAUGUCCGGGCUCAACCCGGGCCGGCCGUUGAAACUGGGGAUCUUGAGUGGGCGAGAAGUAUGCGGAAUGCGUGGUGUAGCGGUGAAAUGCAUAGAUAUCACGCAGAACUCCGAUUGCGAAGGCAGCAUACCGGCGCCCGACUGACGCUGAGGCACGAAAGCGUGGGGAUCGGACAGG